GCGCUCGUAGCUCAGCUGGAUAGAGCAGCGGACUUCUAAUCCGCCGGUCGCAGGUUCGAAUCCUGCCGGGCGCA
Molecule: transfer RNA, 74 nt
Filed under: Nakamurella panacisegetis
Lineage: Bacteria; Bacillati; Actinomycetota; Actinomycetes; Nakamurellales; Nakamurellaceae
Also listed under: 6 other names
Description: Nakamurella sp. P4-7 tRNA
Rfam family: tRNA
About the family: Transfer RNA (tRNA) molecules are approximately 80 nucleotides in length. Their secondary structure includes four short double-helical elements and three loops (D, anti-codon, and T loops).
Source: Rfam by way of RNAcentral